RNAcentral lists this long non-coding RNA (282 nucleotides) under Manihot esculenta (cassava). RNAcentral's name for it is "long non-coding RNA (MESC_LNC003315)". Lineage: Eukaryota; Viridiplantae; Streptophyta; Magnoliopsida; Malpighiales; Euphorbiaceae. The record is from RNAcentral.
GGUCAAACUAUAAAGCUGAAUCUAUUUGAAGAAUGAAAGUGUAAAAUCUUAUGGAUAGAGAAUGUUCACACUUUACAUGAGAAAAGGGGGAUAUGAAAUAGUAAGCUUCAAUUUUACUAUAAGAAUGUAAUAUUUUUUUAUCCAAAAGAGUUGGUAAACUCCAACAAUGUGUUCAUAAGGAAAGUACAUGAAGGAACUUUUCAACAUCUAUGGUUGACACAAAAGAAUGUGGCACGUAACUUUGAAUACAGUCAGCGGAUUGUGACAAUAAAUUUAAGAGAC